RNAcentral lists this ribosomal RNA (468 nucleotides) under uncultured bacterium. RNAcentral's name for it is "bacterial SSU rRNA". It matches the Rfam family "Bacterial small subunit ribosomal RNA", at positions 28 to 507 of the family's 1533-position model. The record is from RNAcentral.
GACGAACGCUGGCGGCGUGCCUAACACAUGCAAGUCGAACGGAGAUAGGUUGAAAGCUUGCUGGAUACUUAUCUUAGUGGCGGACGGGCGAGUAACGCGUGAGCAACCUGCCCCAGACUGGGGGAUAACGUCGGGAAACCGGCGCUAAUACCGCAUAACACUGCGAAGCCGCAUGGUUUUGCAGUCAAAGCUCCGGCGGUUUGGGAUGGGCUCGCGUCCAAUUAGCUAGUUGGUGAGGUAACGGCCCACCAAGGCGACGAUUGGUAGCCGAACUGAGAGGUUGAUCGGCCGCAUUGGGACUGAGACACGGCCCAGACUCCUACGGGAGGCAGCAGUGGGGAAUAUUGCGCAAUGGGGGAAACCCUGACGCAGCAACGCCGCGUGAAGGAAGAAGGCCUUCGGGUUGUAAACUUCUUUGAUCGGGACGAGAUGACGGUACCCGAGGAACAAGCCACGGCUAACUACGUG